AUUGAACGCUGGCGGCAGGCCUAACACAUGCAAGUCGAGCGGAUGAAAGGAGCUUGCUCCUGGAUUCAGCGGCGGACGGGUGAGUAAUGCCUAGGAAUCUGCCUGGUAGUGGGGGACAACGUUUCGAAAGGAACGCUAAUACCGCAUACGUCCUACGGGAGAAAGCAGGGGACCUUCGGGCCUUGCGCUAUCAGAUGAGCCUAGGUCGGAUUAGCUAGUUGGUGAGGUAAUGGCUCACCAAGGCGACGAUCCGUAACUGGUCUGAGAGGAUGAUCAGUCACACUGGAACUGAGACACGGUCCAGACUCCUACGGGAGGCAGCAGUGGGGAAUAUUGGACAAUGGGCGAAAUCCUGAUCCAGCCAUGCCGCGUGUGUGAAGAAUGUCUUCGGAUUGUAAAGCACUUUAAGUUGGGAUGAAGGGUUGUAGAUUAAUACUCUGCAAUUUGGACGUUAUUGAUGUAAAAAAUCUCUGGCUAACGCUGUGCCUUCAUCCUGUGUUGUUCAGUGGGUGCUAUUGGUUAUCGUUAAAUCUGUGUAGAAAGCACAAAUGAUUUGAUUGAUGUGGUAUGUGUUGAACUGCCCAUGUCGUUUUGUUGUUUUGUGUGUGUGUGUGUGUGUGGUGUGUUGGUGAGUUGUGUGAUGAUGUUGGUGUUGUUGUUGUUUUGUUGUGUGUGUGUUUUGUGUUGUGUGUUGUGUUGCUGUGUUUGUGUGUGUUGUAUGUUGUGUUUUUGUUGUUGUGUUGUGCUUGUUGUGUUAUUUGUGUUGUGUGGUGUGUGAGUUUGUGUUGGGGGUGUGUGUGGGUGUAGAUGCCUGUGGCGUGGUUUGACAUAUGUGAGUAAGAUGACAAUGUAUGCGGAUGUGUAUUGUCGCUGCUGUACCUGUUGUGCUUCGUGUGGUGAUGUUGUGUUGCUGGUGGUUGAAUAGUUGAUGUUGUGUGUGUUAUGCUGUGUUGUUGUGCUUAGUGUGUGUGUGUGAUGUUGAUUUGCA
RNAcentral lists this ribosomal RNA (988 nucleotides) under uncultured Actinomyces sp. Its description in RNAcentral is "partial 16S ribosomal RNA". The stretch from base 1 to 523 matches the Rfam family "Bacterial small subunit ribosomal RNA", at positions 28 to 545 of the family's 1533-position model. Lineage: Bacteria; Bacillati; Actinomycetota; Actinomycetes; Actinomycetales; Actinomycetaceae. The record is from RNAcentral.